Molecule: long non-coding RNA, 757 nt
Organism: Balaenoptera acutorostrata (minke whale)
Lineage: Eukaryota; Metazoa; Chordata; Mammalia; Artiodactyla; Balaenopteridae
Exons: 5
Source: RefSeq, a predicted model, not a curated record
GGCGGGGCGUCCCGAGCCCAGCGAGCGCGGGAGCAGGAGAGGCAAGGCCACCCCUUACAGUUCUUGAAUACAGUUGCCGUAUGAAAAAAGGCUCGAAAUACUUUGUUGGCCCCAAAGCUGGGAGACAACAGUCCUGGGAGAAGAUGAGGCUGGCCGGGAUCAGAAGUGUUCUGAUUCAGAAGUAGCUGCUCCUUGCAUCUUAUUACAUCACUGUCACCUGUUUUAGGAGCAGAGUAGAGGGACAGAGGACAAAUACACGAUGGCAGGUGGGCGUGAUCCGAUCCACUGGGGUCCUGAAUAGAACAAAAAAGGCAGAGGAGAGGUGAAUUUGCUCUCGUUUUGAGCUGGGACAUCCAUCCUUUCCUGCCCCCCGGACAUUGGCGCUCUUGAUCCUCAGGCCUUUGGACCAGCUUUCCUGGGUCUUCAGCUUGCAGGCAGCAAAUCAUGGGACUUCUUGGCCUCCAUAAUCAUGUGAGGAAACCCAGAUCCAGAGAGCUGAAAUCCCUUGAAUAAGGUCACAGGGCCAGGAAGUGGCAGGGCUGGGAUUUGAACCUGGCCAUCCAGCUCCAGUCACAGAUGGGUGCUGGAAGCUGAGCCAACACUGGGCCACCAGGCAAGUUGCAGACAGCUGUGGUGGGGUGUGAAGAGGAGGCAUAUUCUGCUUUUAUCGGCCAGACAGACGGCCCACGUGUGAACUGGAGGCGGUGGUGGGCUUCAUCUCUGACCCGGGCACAACUGACCUCAGCAAAGGUCUGGU